AAUAAUAAUAAUAAUAAAAAAGUUAGAUAGGCAGAAGGCAGAAAAACUGGUUUACCCAUCAGCUGUGGAGAUGCAGUAGGACCUGGAGGACUGAGCAAAGAGGCAAACACUGUUUUUCUCUUUCAGUCAUUCUCACUUCUCUUAGAGAAUAUUCUGGAUUUGCCCAUGACUCAGAGGAUGACAUCAGAAAUGACACAUAACCCAUCUGCCCUCACUGAAUGGCAGUAAGAUGUCUCUGCCUCAGGGAGAUGUUGUGAAGAUAGAUUUGUUUUCCUGUAAUUUGACUGUCUGAAAUAAUUUGACUGUAUAAAUGCUAACGAUGCUGAUCUGGAGCAAUCUUCCCACCAUUUCUCGUAAUUUCUGGUGUGUAAAACAGACUGCCUUCCUCAGCUGGAAAUUCCUGUGGGGAGUUUACUGAGAAGUGAAGAGCUCAUUCUCUGCAAGUGGAGUCCCACUGUGCAUCCUGGAAGAACUAUGACCAGGAGCUCUUGUGAUGUAACUGCCUUCAUUUGUCACAAUGGGAGAUUGGUAACCAACACUGGAAACGUAUUCUGCAGAAGGAGUACAUUUAUGGAGAAGAAUAUGAACCUGUGGAAGAUGCUUCCCCAGAACCAUGAUAAAGCGGAGUCUCGGAAAGCUGGGUUUGGUCUCAGGAGCAGGAGAAACUACAUGGAAGCCAAAGAAGAAUCAGGGUAUUGUUUUAAACAGUGAGUACAUGCUUGAGAACCUGGAAUAUUGCUGGGCAAGGAUUUCUAUCCCAAAGCUACCUAGUUAAUGAGACUACAUUUAAGGAAGAUCAUAAGAAAGGAUUUAAACGGGGACAUCUUCCAAGGUAGCACAAAAAUAAAUCUCUAUCUCUGUUGUAUUGAAAAUAUGUU
RNAcentral lists this long non-coding RNA (878 nucleotides) under Coturnix japonica (Japanese quail). RNAcentral describes it as "lncRNA (ENSCJPG00005004661.1)". The record is from RNAcentral. Lineage: Eukaryota; Metazoa; Chordata; Aves; Galliformes; Phasianidae.